UACGAAUGGGGCAAGCGUUGUUCGGAAUCACUGGGCUUAAAGCGUGCGCAGGCGGUCUUGCAAGUCAGGAGUGAAAUCCCGGGGCUUAACCCCGGAAUUGCUUUUGAAACUGCAAGACUAGAAUAUGGGAGAGGUUAGCAGAAUUCCGAGUGUAGAGGUGAAAUUCGUAGAUAUCCGGAGGAACACCAGUGGCGAAGGCGGCUUUCUGGACACUAACUGACACUGAGAGACGAAAGCCAGGGGAGCAAACGGG
This 253-nucleotide ribosomal RNA is filed under the name uncultured bacterium. RNAcentral's name for it is "partial 16S ribosomal RNA". It matches the Rfam family "Bacterial small subunit ribosomal RNA", at positions 524 to 776 of the family's 1533-position model. The record is from RNAcentral.